This 360-nucleotide long non-coding RNA is filed under the name Trifolium pratense (red clover). RNAcentral describes it as "long non-coding RNA (TPRA_LNC005900)". The record is from RNAcentral. Lineage: Eukaryota; Viridiplantae; Streptophyta; Magnoliopsida; Fabales; Fabaceae.
UUUCGAUUAAGGAGUGAUUCAGAGAGAACACAUUCACACAAUCGGUGAUACACUUGUUUAUAUCAAACUACCAUUAUUAUGGUAAAUUAAAAUUUAUGUAUGCUUAAAAAAUGUUACAGAAUGCUUUGGCCUGGCUGGCGUGUUCUUAGACUCUAUAUAUACUCUAGCUGGCCUUGGAAUUGAUCCUUCUGGCAGCUAUGAGGCAUUGUGAAUGGACACUGACUUCCUCUGGUUUCGUUGCUUUGGAGGACAUAAAAUAAGAUGUUAUCUACUUGGAAUAUCAGAUUUUGUAAAAAAAAUACCGAGGCAUUGUCCUCAAGUGAUAAAUCAAGUCGAUGAGUGCACUAAUUGGAACUGGGC